Molecule: small RNA, 448 nt
Filed under: Arabidopsis thaliana (thale cress)
Lineage: Eukaryota; Viridiplantae; Streptophyta; Magnoliopsida; Brassicales; Brassicaceae
Description: ATSL046420
Source: RNAcentral
GGCUAAGCUAAGCUCCCAUGUUAUUGCGCUAUUCAUUGUUGUAGCUUUGGUGUAUGCGUUUGUUCCUGUAUUUUCUGUCAAAGAAGCUGAAACAAAAUCAUUAUGGAACACUUGUCUAGUUAAAAUCACUCCUAAAUGUGCAUUAAAUAUAAUUUAUGUUGUUUUUGGAAAUGGAACCCUCAUUGAGUCUUGUUGCCACGACCUUGUCCAAGAAGGAAAAAUGUGCCAUGAUAAUCUCAUUAAAUAUAUUGCUGAUAGACGAAGUUUAAUUGGCCGUGAAGCACAAUACUUGAAGAAGAGGGAUGACGUGUGGAGUCACUGUGUCUCAAUUUCUAAAACUGCUUAAAAUAUGUGUGUUUUUAAUACUAUUUUGAUCGAAUAUAUUUAUAUUUUGUCUUUGUUACAUUUUCGUUAUCAUAAAUUUAUUUUUAUGUACUAAAUUUAAUAA